GGCCCCCAGGCCUGCGUUCAGUGAGGCCUCCCGUGGCGUCAGCAUGUUCGUGUGGAGGAAUGUGGAAGUUCACUCUGUGGCCAUGUUCCCCUGGUACUCCAUCCCCUUCCUGACCCCUCCCUGCAGCCACACGAGGCCCAGCAACCUGCCAGUCACUCAGUGGCCUCCAACCAGAGAAAACAACCUGCCAAGUUGGCAGCUGUUGCUCAUGAGUGUCCACCAGGUGGGACAGGGAGCGUUGACCCUGGGCGGCCCCCUGGAGCCACCUGCCCUGAAAGCCCAGGGCCCGCAACCCCACACACUUUGGGGGUGGUGGAACCUGGUAAAAGCUCACCUCCCACCAUGGAGGAGGAGCCCUGGGCCCCUCAGGGGAGUCCCUGCUGGACAGUGACACAGAGAAUGACCAUGAUGAUGCUUUCCUCUCCAUCAUGUCUCCUGACACCCAGUUGCCUCUACCGCUCAGAUGAUGUCAGGCCCAGUCCCUCAUUGCCCCGCGCAAGGAACAGGACUCAUCUUCUGAGAAGGAUGGACGCAGCCCCAACAAAUGGGACAAGGACCACAUCUGGUGGCCCAUGAGUGGCGGUCAUGAUCUUGAGCAAGCGGCACCAGGCCCUGGCAGGGCGCACCAGGGUCACCCCAACCAGGAUAACCGGACCAUCAGCCAGAUGCUGAGCGAGCGGUGGUACAUCCUGGGGCCCAAUGAGACACAGAAAUACCAUGACCUGGCCUUCCAGGUGAAGGUGGCCCACUUGCAACAAGGACCGAAAGAAGUCCAGCUCAGAGGCCAAGCCCACAAGCCAGGGGCUAGCAGGAGUGUAACAAGGGCUCGUGGGAGCGGAGCAUAUCAGAGACAGGCACUGCCACUGCCCCUGGGGUGUCCUCUGAACUCCUGUCAGUUGCAGCCCAAACACUCCAGAGCUCAGAUACCAAGGAGCAGCUUCUGUGGGGCAGAACGGCUGCACACAGUCAGGAAACCUGGCUCAGCCUGGCCCAAGCCUUCUCCCACAGCGGGGUACACAGCCUGGAAGGCAGGGAAAUAGACCGUCAGGCACUACGGGAACUGACACAGGUAGUGUCUGGCACUGCAUCAUACUCUGGCCCAAAGCCUUCUACUCAGUAUGGAGCUCCAGGCCACUUUGCAGCCCCUGGUGAGGGAGGUGACCAGUGGGCAGCCCUGCUGCUGCCCACCUGAGCUGCUCAUUCCCAGCACAUGGCCAGUGAGGACAUAGCGAGUGACGAGGAGCACACGGUCAUCCAUGAGGAGGAGGGGGUGAUGAUGUCAUUGCUGAUGAUGGCUUUAGCACCACUGACACCGAUCUCAAGUUCAAGGAGUGGGUGACCGACUGAGAGUGGGGACAACUCUGGGGAGGAGCCAGAGGGCAACAAGGGCUUUGGUGGGAAGGUAUUUGCACCUGUCAUUCCUUCCUCCUUUACUCCUGCCGCCCCCUUGCUAGAUCCUGAGCCCCCAGGGUCCCCCGAUCCACCAGCAGCUUUUGGCAAAGUCUAUGGUCCCACCCUGUCCUCCUCCUACACAUACUCGGAUGCUUCCCCCUCAACCUUGGCACCCACCUCCUUCUUACUGGGCCCAGGAGCCUUCAAAGCCCAGGAGUCUGGUCAAGACAGCAGAGCGGGCCCCCUAUGACCCCUACCCCUGGGGAUGGGGGCCCAGGGACGCCUUCCAAGGUGACCUGUUUCCUCCCAAUGGAUCCUGCCACCUUCUGGUGCAAGAGACCAGAAAGUGUGGGCGACCUGGAGCUACCAGGACCCCACCACGCCCAAAUGCAAGAUGAGAAGAUGCUCCAGCUGCAGUCCAAAGCCCAACACCCCCAAGUGUUCCAUGUGUGAUGGGGACAGCUUCCCCUUUGCCUGUACAGGUGGAGAAGCCGAGGACAGGCUCAGGGAACCGGAGACCGAGAAGGCGCUGUCCUCUUCACUGCACGUGCCCUGGACCAGUGCCGGCCCUGAUCAUGCAGCUCUUCCAGGCCCACUGCUUCUUCCUGUCCACUAGGCCACAGCCACCCUCCAGGCCCACUAUGCACACAUCUUCCCCUCCAAGCCCUGCCUGACCCCACCUCAAUCUGCUCAGGCUCUGGCGCAACCCUGGCUGCCCUGCCACUGCCUCUGCCCCAGAGUUGGGGCCUUGACAGCCUGGUUGGAAGGGGACACCCCAGCCCUGCCUCAACACCUGGGGGUCUCCAUAACUACCACAGGCAGG
RNAcentral lists this long non-coding RNA (2215 nucleotides) under Homo sapiens (human). RNAcentral describes it as "non-protein coding lnc-FBXO28-5:1". The record is from RNAcentral. Lineage: Eukaryota; Metazoa; Chordata; Mammalia; Primates; Hominidae.